AACGAACGCGGGCGGCAUGCCUAAUACAUGCAAGUCGAACGAUCACUUCGGUGGUAGUGGCGCACGGGUGCGUAACGCGUGGGAAUCUGCCCUUGGGUUCGGAAUAACGUCGGGAAACUGACGCCAAUACCGGAUGAUGACGUAAGACCAAAGAUUUAUCGCCCAGGGAUGAGACCGCGUAGGAUUAGCUAGUUGGUGGGGUAAAGGCCUACCAAGGCGACGAUCCUUAGCUGGUCUGAGAGGAUGAUCAGCCACACUGGGACUGAGACACGGCCCAGACUCCUACGGGAGGCAGCAGUAGGGAAUAUUGGACAAUGGGGGCAACCCUGAUCCAGCAAUGCCGCGUGAGUGAUGAAGGCCUUAGGGUUGUAAAGCUCUUUUACCCGGGAUGAUAAUGACAGUACCGGGAGAAUAAGCCCCGGCUAACUCCGUGCCAGCCGCCGCCGUAA
RNAcentral lists this ribosomal RNA (449 nucleotides) under uncultured bacterium. RNAcentral describes it as "partial 16S ribosomal RNA". It matches the Rfam family "Bacterial small subunit ribosomal RNA", at positions 29 to 523 of the family's 1533-position model. The record is from RNAcentral.